GCAACCUGCCUGUAAGACUGGGAUAACAUAGGGAAACUUAUGCUAAUACCGGAUAGGGUUUUGCUUCGCCUGAAGCGAAACGGAAAGAUGGCGCAAGCUAUCACUUACAGAUGGGCCUGCGGCGCAUUAGCUAGUUGGUGAGGUAAUGGCUCACCAAGGCGACGAUGCGUAGCCGACCUGAGAGGGUGACCGGCCACACUGGGACUGAGACACGGCCCAGACUCCUACGGGAGGCAGCAGUAGGGAAUUUUCCACAAUGGACGAAAGUCUGAUGGAGCAACGCCGCGUGAACGAUGAAGGCUUUCGGGUCGUAAAGUUCUGUUGUUAGGGAAGAAACAGUGCUAUUUAAAUAAGGUAGCACCUUGACGGUACCUAACGAGAAAGCCACGGCUAACUACGUGCCAGCAGCCGCGGUAAUACGUAGGUGGCAAGCGUUGUCCGGAAUUAUUGGGCGUAAAGCGCGCGCAGGUGGCUAUGUAAGUCUGAUGUUAAAGCCCGAGGCUCAACCUCGGUUCGCAUUGGAAACUGUGUAGCUUGAGUGCAGGAGAGGAAAGUGGUAUUCCACCGUGUAGCGGUGAAAUGCGUAGAGAUGUGGAGGAACACCCAGUGGCGAAGGCGACUUUCUGGCCUGUAACUACACUA
Molecule: ribosomal RNA, 642 nt
Filed under: bacterium EAB-2EM63.02
Lineage: Bacteria
Description: bacterial SSU rRNA
Rfam family: Bacterial small subunit ribosomal RNA
Source: RNAcentral